UGCUAACACAUGCAAGUCGAGCGAUGCGAUCCUUCGGGAUCAAUUAGCGGCGGACGGGUGAGUAACACGUGGGUAACCUGCCUCAAAGAGGGGAAUAGCCUCCCGAAAGGGAGAUUAAUACCGCAUAAUAUGUUUUAGUCACAUGGCUUUAACAUCAAAGGAUUUCUUCGGAAAUCCACUUUGAGAUGGACCCGCGGCGCAUUAGCUAGUUGGUGAGGUAACGGCUCACCAAGGCGACGAUGCGUAGCCGACCUGAGAGGGUGAUCGGCCACAUUGGAACUGAGACACGGUCCAGACUCCUACGGGAGGCAGCAGUGGGGAAUAUUGCGCAAUGGGGGAAACCCUGACGCAGCAACGCCGCGUGAAUGAUGAAGGCCUUCGGGUUUGUAAAGUUCUGUCUUCUGGGACGAUAAUGACGGUACCAGAGGAGGAAGCCACGGCUAACUACGUGCCAGCAGACGCGGUAAUACGUAGGUGGCAAGCGUU
Molecule: ribosomal RNA, 486 nt
Filed under: uncultured bacterium
Lineage: Bacteria
Description: bacterial SSU rRNA
Rfam family: Bacterial small subunit ribosomal RNA
Source: RNAcentral